This is a long non-coding RNA of Heterocephalus glaber (naked mole-rat), 3582 nucleotides long. NCBI's taxonomy places the organism in Eukaryota, Metazoa, Chordata, Mammalia, Rodentia, Bathyergidae. The record is from Ensembl.
AAACAAGUUCUGAUGCUUUGAGACCCUCGAAUGUCCCAGGGCUACUUUGGGGGACUCAGUCCCAAGCCCUGGUUCAUCAAUCUUCAUGGCAGCUGGGAGGCUCAGAGGGGAAGGGAAGUGUGUGUCACAGCUGUCAUAAGUGGUGGAGUUGGUGUUCUCGCUAGAUCUGUGUUACUCCAGAGCCCUGUCCCUUACCACCUGGAAGGUCAGUGGCCUUCACAGUCCUUUGAACAUGACUCUAUAAAACACAGACAAUUUCUCCCAUAUUACCCAGUGUACUCACAUACACAUUAACUACAGAGGAAGUUUCACCAACAAUACCUUUAUUGUAGUGUCUUAUAAUUGUAUUUUUGUUGUAUUCUAUUUCCUUUUAAAAAAUUUUAUGACCCACUAGAUUGUAACCCACUUUAUGACUCAGUUCUCAGUUUGGAAAACAUUUCACACACCCAUCUCCACGUGAGGAACUUUUCAUUGUUUACUGGGCCAUCCCGCCUGCCCUCUGAGGUGGGCAGCGGUGCCCCCAGUUUACAGAUGGGGAACUCUGAUUUGGGCAGCGCAGCCCCUAUAAUUCCCCGAGUUUUCCCUGACCACAGCUGUGAGUGUCUCCCAGCCUCUCUACCCCUGAAGCUCCCUUAGGGAAGCAGCAAUCUGCCUUGGUCCCUUUCAGUAUUCCCCAGUGGCUGCCAGGAGCCAACUCGAAUGACUUCACGAGUAAUAGGGUCAGGGUGCCAACUCCACCUCAGUCUCCACAGCUCACUCUUAGUUUGGCUGCUGUGACUCAUUGCAGUUUUCUUCAGCUUCUUUCCGGUGCCUCCUGCAAAUGCUGCCAAUGCUCAGGGACACGGUGCUCAAAGCCAGGCCCCCAAGAGCAGAGAAGAAUGAGACUUCAGCCACCCCCUCGGAGGCUCCCACAAUCUGGGAAGGAUGCUCCGAGGCUCCAGAGUCUUUGGGGACAAUGAGAAGAGAUGCCAGUGGCAGCUCUGGGGAGUCCCUCAGUGCUAAAGGCAAGGUGCUGAGAGCCCAGGGCCGUGCACAUGGCAGAAAUCUAGCUGCAGAUGGAGUCACAGAGCCAGGCAGAGUACAGGGUAGGGACAGGACCGGGAGGAGGAGCGGGGACAGGCACCACCAAGCCAAGGGCAGAGGCCAGGCCACCCAGAGGGCAGCCAGCAGAGUCCAGACCACUCCCCUGCAAAGCACGGACCAGUGAAUUCCUCAGGUGGACGGCAGCGAGCAAGAGCCCUGCCCUCCUCAGCAGCUUUGCCAGCAGCCACUGCCCCUACCUGCACCAUUAUGGACCGAACCCUGCCACCUCGUGUUUUAGUUUCUUCUGUGGAGAAAGUACACUAGUCUAGGGUUCUGAGCAAAGCAUAGAGCCAGCUUCUGUUUCCAGGAGCAUUGCAGGUUGGGUUACUUAGGUCAACCCUAAUGGUGGAAACAAUUGGAAAUGCGGAAUAAAUGAAAACAUCUUCUUAAAGGCGUUAAAGAGCUAUGAGUGACAAGCUACCAGGCCAACAGUCAAAUAAAAGGAAGAACCCUGGCAGCAUUGUAGCUCCUGGUGCCCUGUGGGUGUUUUUUACAUUACUGGGGCUUUGGGGGAGAAAAGAUAAAACCUAGCACUCAGUAAAGAUGGGUUAUUUAAGGAGGAUCUUCCCUCCUAACAGAGGACCUAUUAGAAUAUCAGAUGCAGAACAUGAAGCAGGGACACUUACUCUCUGAAAGGAAGAAAAAGACAUUUUUUCAUAACAUCUGCAGGGAACAAGAAAAUGUUUUUAGAAAGGGAGAGACUUCACAGAGAAGGAAAGAUUAUACCUAGAGACAAAAACCGUAAUAACACUCCACUGAUGCAUGUAAUAGCAGAUUAGACACAGCUGAAGAGAGAAUCAGUGAAUUAGAUGACUACAGCAAGGAAAGAAGAGAUGGGGAACAUAAAAGUUAGAAGACAUGAGAUAAAAAGGAUGUGAUAUACAUCAAAUUUGAAUUCCAGAUGAAGAAGAAUGAGGCAGAGACAAUAAUUCAGGAAGUAAUAUUUAAGAAUUUCUAAACUUGAAGAAAGACACCAUGGUUUUAAGAUCAACAAAUAAUAUAAAGGUUAAAUAUAGGAAAUUCACAUGUAGCUUCAUCAGAGUGAAACUGGAGACACCAAAGAAAAGAUUUUUAAAGCUGCUAGAGAAGGGGAAAAACUAGAAGACAGUUACUCUAAACAGGUGGGUUAGCAGCUGGCUUUCCCAGCCACUAUGGGUGCUGGAUGAUAUAGAGUAUUUUAGCAUGUGCUGAAGAAAGAUAGAUGCCAACCCAGAAUUCUGCAGCCAGUGAAACUGUCUUUCAAUAAUGAAGAAAAUUAAGGUUUUCAAAUAAAAGAGAAUAAGAAAUUGCCACCAGAAAUGUCUCACUAAAGGUAACUAAAAGAUACAUUUUGAAUAUAAAAACACCAACACACAGUCAGGGUUAAAUGGAUUUAAAAUGCUCUAAGUCCCUUAUAUAGUCCAGAAGGAAAGUAAAUGUUUCGAUUCACUUUUAUUUCUUUUCUUUUCUUUUUUUUGGUACCAGGGAUCGAACUCAGGACCUUGUGCUUUCGAAGCAGGCAUGGAACCACUGAGCUAAAUCUCUGGCCCUGAUCUUGGCUGCUACAAAGCAAGCUGUUUCCGCUGCCACAGGCCCCUGCACGUGCAUUCUGUCUCACUUCAGACUCAGAGCAUCAAGGCCAAGCAACCACAGACAGCAACUGUGAGGCAAAAUACGCCUUUUUUCUCUUUUUAAAUUGAUUUAUCUUGGCUGUUUGUCACAGUGGUAGAAAACUAAUACAGCCUUAGUGCGAUCAUUACGGCCACUACUGUCUUCACUCAACUACUACAAAGGGGGGGUGGGCAGGAAAGGGAAUGCAGGAAGUGAAUGUGUGGCCACCUCCUCUGGCAACAAGUUAGGGUGGGCAGGAACAGGUGUCCCACUGUGAGCUCUUGGCCUCCACCCUUCCUUCUGCGCCACUCAGCCAAACCAGCAGCAGCUGUCAAGGUCACCGUCAUCUGCUGCACUUUCCCAGGGAAAGGUGGGGCUCUGCACCUGUGCCCCAGGAAGGCCGUUCCCAGGAUCCUCACAUCUAUCUGCUCCCAUGCACUUCCCAGUGUUUUGGCUGCAGGAUGAUGCUGGGGCCGGCCACCUGGACGUUACCAUGGGAUGACUUCCCACCAGGGUACGCUGGAUAAGCUCAACCAGCCGAGUAGGUUUGCAUAGCCGCCCACUUGGUGCUGGCACUAAGAGCAGAGGGUGGGGCCUGGUUUCCAGCCACGCCCUCCCCCAGGAAAGCCUGGAGAACCCCAGGGCAAAGGAAGGUAGACCCUCUCAGUCACAACCUGGAAGGGUACAGCCGAGCAAGGUUUAUUUUUAAAACCUCCCCAGGGUGUCCUGGUGCCAGGCAACCUGGAUUGGAAACCACUCUUGUAAAGCAAUGUUUUUGUGCACAAGGAAGAGCCUAUGCCACAGAGGUGUUCCGUCAAGUUCAGGGUCACCUGCAGCCCCUUUUGGGUGCAUUGUUACAAGGGGCCAGUUGGGGGGGGCUUUUCUUAGAGGGAGGCUGCAGGUGGGGGC